AAUUCCCUGCGGUGCGCGUUGGAAAAUCGAUAAAUAUUGAACCAACACCAAUAUAAAGGGAGCCUAGGCUUCCAAGCCGUCUUUGGCGGAAUGGAGAGGGCACCCAUCUGAAAAACAGGUUCAGAAAUAUCGUUCCAACGGCACUCUGCGGGGAGUUU
RNAcentral lists this small RNA (158 nucleotides) under Candidatus Omnitrophota bacterium. RNAcentral's name for it is "Candidatus Omnitrophica bacterium (aquatic metagenome) 6S RNA". The record is from RNAcentral. Lineage: Bacteria; Pseudomonadati; Candidatus Omnitrophota.